RNAcentral lists this non-coding RNA (20 nucleotides) under Arabidopsis thaliana (thale cress). RNAcentral also lists the same sequence under 1 other name. Lineage: Eukaryota; Viridiplantae; Streptophyta; Magnoliopsida; Brassicales; Brassicaceae. The record is from RNAcentral.
UGACUGAACGCCUCUAAGUC